GAGGAAAGUGGGAGGCGUGCCUAAUACAUGCAAGUCGAGCGAACGGACGAGAAGCUUGCUUCUCUGAUGUUAGCGGCGGACGGGUGAGUAACACGUGGAUAACCUACCUAUAAGACUGGGAUAACUUCGGGAAACCGGAGCUAAUACCGGAUAAUAUUUUGAACCGCAUGGUUCAAAAGUGAAAGACGGUCUUGCUGUCACUUAUAGAUGGAUCCGCGCUGCAUUAGCUAGUUGGUAAGGUAACGGCUUACCAAGGCAACGAUGCAUAGCCGACCUGAGAGGGUGAUCGGCCACACUGGAACUGAGACACGGUCCAGACUCCUACGGGAGGCAGCAGUAGGGAAUCUUCCGCAAUGGGCGAAAGCCUGACGGAGCAACGCCGCGUGAGUGAUGAAGGUCUUCGGAUCGUAAAACUCUGUUAUUAGGGAAGAACAUAUGUGUAAGUAACUGUGCACAUCUUGACGGUACCUAAUCAGAAAGCCACGGCUAACUACGUG
This 497-nucleotide ribosomal RNA is filed under the name uncultured bacterium. RNAcentral's name for it is "partial 16S ribosomal RNA". It matches the Rfam family "Bacterial small subunit ribosomal RNA", at positions 28 to 507 of the family's 1533-position model. The record is from RNAcentral.